UACGUAGGGUGCAAGCGUUAAUCGGAAUUACUGGGCGUAAAGCGUGCGCAGGCGGCUUUGCAAGACAGAUGUGAAAUCCCCGGGCUUAACCUGGGAACUGCAUUUGUGACUGCAUGGCUAGAGUGCGGCAGAGGGGGAUGGAAUUCCGCGUGUAGCAGUGAAAUGCGUAGAGAUGUGGAGGAACACCGAUGGCGAAGGCAGCCUCCUGGGCCAAUACUGACGCUCAUGCACGAAAGCGUGGGGAGCAAACAGG
RNAcentral lists this ribosomal RNA (253 nucleotides) under uncultured bacterium. RNAcentral describes it as "partial 16S ribosomal RNA". It matches the Rfam family "Bacterial small subunit ribosomal RNA", at positions 524 to 776 of the family's 1533-position model. The record is from RNAcentral.